CAUAGCUGUUUCUCAAUAUUACUUUCUCUAGUCCACAAAAUGUAUUUUAAACAUAAGUUCAGGCGAGAAUAUAUAUAUAUAAUGUUCAAAUUUGCAGUCGGUUUGUAAAGUGAACGCCAAUUUUAAAGUUUAAUUACACAAAGUCGGAAUGUUACCGGCGUGACCACCGGGUGUCAGUGUUGUUCUUCCCCAGAGAGAACUCCUCCCAUCCCCCCACACAGACGCGUCAUCUCAGCUGAACUCCUGGCUCUCACUGCAUGGAUACUUGACGCGGGAGUUUACCUCAGGAUUCAUGAACAGUUUUUCAUCGACUUAUUUCUGAUUUAUUUGAAGGAAAAGACCCUGAUGGAUAAAAGAUGGAUAUUUUUUCCUGGAGAAGCUAAAACAAUGUCACUUUGAGGUUCUGAUACCAGCUUUUACAAAGUUAUUUACAGAGUUCACCAGACUUCUCUGUGUUAUUUCCUGACCAUGCCGAAAAGCUAUUUGAAACUUGGGCAUUGCAUUUUCCAGACAGAAUCCUGCACUUCCCAGCCAAGAACCAGGAGCAUCAACAAAUCACCUCCAGAACCCCAUGAUGAUAUUCCAACUCCUGUCUACAAAAGUGGGAAGAAAAUCUUAAGUCUAUGUUGGGACCAACAUGGUUGCAUUCUUCUGAGAGGCUGAUGUGACAAAACCAUUCCCAUUUGUCCUUGGAUUGGAAGAUGGCGAUCUCUGCCAUCAAGCCUUCGUUGUUUUUGACAGACAGUCACUCCAGCAAUACACCCUCCUUGGUGAUGUUGACAUGUUUUAAACUUUUUUUUUAUGUUUUGGACAUUAAUUUUACCAAGCAGUGCACAUCAGUGUGGGUGUUUUUGAAGACUGUUGUUUACAAACUCCCAAGAACGGAAUCCCUUUCUAUAAGAAGUCUGUGUAGUUAUUUGUCAUGCUAAGGUGAUAACUGAUGUUGAUCAUAUAUUGACUGUUUGUGCAACUUUGUGUUGAUCUUAUGUGUUACAUUAACCAUUUCUUAUUACACGGUUCUCUAAAAUGCUAGAUUCUGAUUGGCCAGUCGUGACAUUCUACUACUGCUCAAAACUAAAAACUCCAAUGCUGCAAAUCAUUUUGACAGGUACUGUUUUAUAUUACACAAAAAUUAAAUAUCAAUGUCUAUUAAUUACAUAUCCGACAUUAAAUUUAUAAAUGAUUAAAUGUGUUCGUGACAUUUGUCCUGAAGAAACUGUUGGGGCUUUUUUCUGUGAUGACAUGCUGCCAAUACAUUAUCCCUUACUUGUACAACUUUUUACUUGAUCUAAUUGUAAUGUUAAUUGGGGAUCUGUCAUUUUAGAUUGUGAGAUAUAAUACUAAUAUAUUUUUUUAUUUAUAUAUAAUAUAUAAACGUAUGUAUGUUUAUUAAAAAGUGAAAAUGCUUAAUGGAAAUAAUUAAAUAACUAAAUGGUUGAAUGAAAUGAGACAUUUUAAAUGUAAACUAAAGUUUUGCUGUCUAAUACAGA
Paramisgurnus dabryanus is the source of this 1490-nucleotide long non-coding RNA. RefSeq lists it as uncharacterized. The record is from RefSeq and is a predicted model, not a curated record. Lineage: Eukaryota; Metazoa; Chordata; Actinopteri; Cypriniformes; Cobitidae.